GACGAACGCUGGCGGCGUGCUUAACACAUGCAAGUCGAACGGAAAGGCCCUGCUUUUGUGGGGUGCUCGAGUGGCGAACGGGUGAGUAACACGUGAGUAACCUGCCCUUGACUUUGGGAUAACUUCAGGAAACUGGGGCUAAUACCGGAUAGGAGCUCCUGCUGCAUGGUGGGGGUUGGAAAGUUUCGGCGGUUGGGGAUGGACUCGCGGCUUAUCAGCUUGUUGGUGGGGUAGUGGCUUACCAAGGCUUUGACGGGUAGCCGGCCUGAGAGGGUGACCGGCCACAUUGGGACUGAGAGACGGCCCAGACUCCUACGGGAGGCAGCAGUGGGGAAUAUUGCACAAUGGGCGGAAGCCUGAUGCAGCAACGCCGCGUGCGGGAUGACGGCCUUCGGGUUGUAAACCGCUUUCGCCUGUGACGAAGCGUGAGUGACGGGAAUGGGUAAAGAAGCACCGGCUAACUACGU
RNAcentral lists this ribosomal RNA (467 nucleotides) under uncultured bacterium. RNAcentral describes it as "partial 16S ribosomal RNA". It matches the Rfam family "Bacterial small subunit ribosomal RNA", at positions 28 to 506 of the family's 1533-position model. The record is from RNAcentral.